GCUAAGCUGCACCACAGCCACAAAAAAAAAUAGCAUAAACAAAUUCUAAUCCAAUUAGAUUCCUACUCUAAUUAAUAUUUAAAUCUUAAAUAAUUUAUCUCCAACAUAUUUAAAUAUUUAUCAUAAUCUAACAUUCAACUACAAAUAUAACCAAAAUCCUAAUAAUCUCCUCCUUGAUUUGAUUUGUAGUCUUUAGCUGUUGCGUCGAGCUCAUAAUUCAACUCUACCUUGAGCUUAUCUACUCCACUCGAUAUCGCCACAUUC
This 264-nucleotide long non-coding RNA is filed under the name Ananas comosus (pineapple). RNAcentral's name for it is "long non-coding RNA (ACOM_LNC005169)". Lineage: Eukaryota; Viridiplantae; Streptophyta; Magnoliopsida; Poales; Bromeliaceae. The record is from RNAcentral.